CUCUCGCAUCGAUGAAGAACGCAGCGAAAUGCGAUAAGUAAUGUGAAUUGCAGAAUUCAGUGAAUCAUCGAAUCUUUGAACGCACCUUGCGCCCUUUGGCUAUUCCGAAGGGCAUGCCUGUUUGAGUAUCAUGAACACCUCAACUCUCAUGGUCCACCAUGAUGAGCUUGGACUUUGGAGGUAUUGCCGGCCCAAUUGUCGGCUCCUCUCAAAUGGAUCAGCUUGCCAGUGUUUGGUGGCAUCACGGGUGUGAUAACUAUCUACGCUCGUGGUUUUCCACCAUGUAACCUUCAGCGAUGGAGGUUCGCUGGAGCUCACAGACGUCUCUCCUCAGGGAGGACAGCUUUUUGAACGUUUGAUCUCAAAUCAGGUAGGACUACCCGCUGAACUUAAGCAUAUCAAUAAGCGGAGGAAAAGAAACUAACAAGGAUUCCCCUAGUAACUGCGAGUGAAGCGGGAAGAGCUCAAAUUUAAAAUCUGGCGUGCCUUUGGUCGUCCGAGUUGUAGUCUGGAGAAGCGUUUUCCGUGUUGGACCGUGUAUAAGUCUCUUGGAACAGGGCGUCAUAGAGGGUGAGAAUCCCGUCUUUGACACGGACUACCAAUGCUUUGUGAUGCGCUCUCAAAGAGUCGAGUUGUUUGGGAAUGCAGCUCAAAAUGGGUGGUAAAUUCCAUCUAAAGCUAAAUAUAGGCGAGAGACCGAUAGCGAACAAGUACCGUGAGGGAAAGAUGAAAAGCACUUUGGAAAGAGAGUUAAACAG
This 758-nucleotide ribosomal RNA is filed under the name uncultured Tomentella. RNAcentral describes it as "eukaryotic LSU rRNA". The stretch from base 357 to 758 matches the Rfam family "Eukaryotic large subunit ribosomal RNA", at positions 1 to 395 of the family's 3401-position model. Lineage: Eukaryota; Fungi; Basidiomycota; Agaricomycetes; Thelephorales; Thelephoraceae. The record is from RNAcentral.